RNAcentral lists this ribosomal RNA (373 nucleotides) under uncultured organism. RNAcentral describes it as "partial 16S ribosomal RNA". It matches the Rfam family "Bacterial small subunit ribosomal RNA", at positions 526 to 896 of the family's 1533-position model. The record is from RNAcentral.
AGAGGGGUGCGAGCGUUAAUCGGAAUUACUGGGCGUAAAGAGUUCGUAGGUGGUUGGCUAAGUCGGGAUGUGAAAUGCCCAGGCUUAACUUGGGAAUGCCAUUCGAUACUGGCUAACUAGAGUAGGAUAGAGGAAAGUGGAAUUUCCGGUGUAGCGGUGAAAUGCGUAGAUAUCGGAAGGAACACCAGUGGCGAAGGCGGCUUUCUGGAUCCAAACUGACACUGAGGAACGAAAGCGUGGGGAGCGAACAGGAUUAGAUACCCUGGUAGUCCACGCCGUAAACGAUGAGAACUAGCCGUUGGGGCGCUUAGACGUCUCAGUGGUGAAGCUAACGCGUUAAGUUCUCCGCCUGGGGAGUACGGCCGCAAGGUUA